GAUGAACGCUGGCGGCGCGCCUAACACAUGCAAGUCGAACGAUUAAAGCACCUUCGGGUGUGUAUAAAGUGGCGAACGGCUGAGUAACACGUGGGCAACCUGCCCCUCUCAUUGGGAUAGCCACGGGAAACCGUGGAUAAUACCGAAUACUUCGGGACUUCCGCAUGGAAGACUCGAGAAAGCUCCGGCGGAGAGGGAUGGGCCCGCGGCCUGUUAGCUUGUUGGUGGGGUAAUGGCCUACCAAGGCAAUGAUGGGUAGCUGGGUUGAGAGGCCGACCAGCCAGAUUGGGACUGAGACACGGCCCAGACUCCUACGGGAGGCAGCAGUGGGGAAUCUUGCACAAUGGGCGAAAGCCUGAUGCAGCGACGCCGCGUGCGGGAUGAAGGCCUUCGGGUUGUAAACCGCUUUCAGCAGGGACGAGGCGAAAGUGACGGUACCUGCAGAAGAAGCCCCGGCUAACUACGUG
RNAcentral lists this ribosomal RNA (467 nucleotides) under uncultured bacterium. RNAcentral's name for it is "partial 16S ribosomal RNA". It matches the Rfam family "Bacterial small subunit ribosomal RNA", at positions 28 to 507 of the family's 1533-position model. The record is from RNAcentral.